UGAGGAAUAUUGGACAAUGGGCGAGAGCCUGAUCCAGCCAUGCCGCGUGCAGGAAGAAUGCCCUAUGGGUUGUAAACUGCUUUUAUACAGGAAGAAACACCCCGACGUGUCGGGGCUUGACGGUACUGUAAGAAUAAGGAUCGGCUAACUCCGUGCCAGCAGCCGCGGUAAUACGGAGGAUCCAAGCGUUAUCCGGAAUCAUUGGGUUUAAAGGGUCCGUAGGUGGAUAAUUAAGUCAGGGGUGAAAUCCUAUAGCUCAACUAUAGAAUUGCCCUUGAUACUGGUUAUCUUGAAUCAUUAUGAAGUAGUUAGAAUAUGUGGUGUAGCGGUGAAAUGCAUAGAUAUUACAUAGAAUACCAAUUGCGAAGGCAGAUUACUAAUAAUGUAUUGACACUGAUGGACGAAAGCGUGGGGAGCGAACA
This 422-nucleotide ribosomal RNA is filed under the name uncultured Flavobacteriaceae bacterium. RNAcentral's name for it is "bacterial SSU rRNA". It matches the Rfam family "Bacterial small subunit ribosomal RNA", at positions 355 to 774 of the family's 1533-position model. Lineage: Bacteria; Pseudomonadati; Bacteroidota; Flavobacteriia; Flavobacteriales; Flavobacteriaceae. The record is from RNAcentral.